GUGUGUGUAAUUUAAAAAAAAUAUCAAGUUGUGACCCUGAAAAUAGAUUUCACCUCACACACC
RNAcentral lists this transfer RNA (63 nucleotides) under Protobothrops jerdonii. RNAcentral describes it as "tRNA-His". The record is from RNAcentral. Lineage: Eukaryota; Metazoa; Chordata; Lepidosauria; Squamata; Viperidae.